RNAcentral lists this long non-coding RNA (296 nucleotides) under Coccomyxa subellipsoidea. RNAcentral describes it as "long non-coding RNA (CSUB_LNC000089)". Lineage: Eukaryota; Viridiplantae; Chlorophyta; Trebouxiophyceae; Coccomyxaceae. The record is from RNAcentral.
CCGCCUUUGGAUGAGCUAGGUUCGCCAGUUGUUGACGUGUAGCACAGGAUGUGUUCACCAAAAGUUCCUUCCAGUCUUUCCUGCAGCGGAUGACACUGAACGCGGUGACAGCUGUGCUGCGUCUCCUCAACCACCUAGAUGGAUGCAGCCUUUCUUUCCAGGGUGGUAGUGGCUGAUGCGAAUCGAGACUAGUGGAAGGAAGUGCCUCAGCUAAAUCAAAGGUCAACCUAGUUUCCGUGUAAGUGUGAUCGUUCACUGUCAUUAUACCAAGAAAGCAAGCCAAAUGAGCUUUUUUG